This 324-nucleotide ribosomal RNA is filed under the name Babesia caballi. RNAcentral's name for it is "SSU rRNA". It matches the Rfam family "Eukaryotic small subunit ribosomal RNA", at positions 468 to 855 of the family's 1831-position model. The record is from RNAcentral. Lineage: Eukaryota; Apicomplexa; Aconoidasida; Piroplasmida; Babesiidae.
UGACAAGAAAUAACAAUACGGGGCAUAUGUCUUGUAAUUGGAAUGAUGGCGACUUAAACCCUCGCCAGAGUAACAAUUGGAGGGCAAGUCUGGUGCCAGCAGCCGCGGUAAUUCCAGCUCCAAUAGCGUAUAUUAAACUUGUUGCAGUUAAAAAGCUCGUAGUUGAACUUUUGCGUUGUCCUUUUCCUGCUUUGUGCGGGUUAUUGACUUCGCUUUUUCUUUUUACUUUGAGAAAAUUAGAGUGUUUAUCGCAGACUUUUGUCUUGAAUACUUCAGCAUGGAAUAAUAGAGUAGGACUUUGGUUCUAUUUUGUUGGUUUUGGAA